Podarcis raffonei (Aeolian wall lizard) is the source of this 528-nucleotide long non-coding RNA. RefSeq lists it as uncharacterized. Lineage: Eukaryota; Metazoa; Chordata; Lepidosauria; Squamata; Lacertidae. The transcript is spliced from 2 exons. The record is from RefSeq and is a predicted model, not a curated record.
ACCGGGACUCAGAGGUUGCUGGACUCCAACUUCCAUCAGCCCCAGCCACCAAAGCCAAUGGCUAGGCAUGCUGGGAGCUGUAGUCCAGAGUCUGGAAGGCAUCACACUGACUACCUUGGGACUACCGUGUACCAGAGGUUCCCCCCAACUCUCCAGAUCAGAUUUUCAUAGAGGUGCAGGGAGGAGAACAAGGAAACAUUAAUGGUAUUAACAGUAAAGAAGACGAUUUCAAAGCUCGUUUGUUUUUGUAAAGCUCGGCGCAGUCGCCACCAUCAUCAUCGCCAACAGCCGCCUUCACUUCAAAUCUCUUUCCAGUCAUAUUUAUUGUUGGCAUCUCACACAGUAAAGCCGAAGAAGAAGUGUGAAAGGCAAACGCUUCACUCUAUUUCUUCACAAAAAUAACAACAAUCACCAUUCGGACUUUUCUGGGACUGGGUGUGAACUGAAAAGGAACCUCAUUCAUUUCCAAGUCUGUCUUCUCCCCAGACUGUAUUUACGAAUAUAAGAAAAGACCUGACUGCAAAAUGA